ACUCCUACGGGAGGCAGCAGUGGGGAAUAUUGCACAAUGGGGGAAACCCUGAUGCAGCCAUGCCGCGUGUGUGAAGAAGGCCUUGGGUUGUAAAGCACUUUCAGUAGGGAGGAAGGUAGUGUAGUUAACACCUGCAUUAUUUGUACGUUACCUACAGAAGAAGCACCGGCUAACUCCGUGCCAGCAGCCGCGGUAAUACGGAGGGUGCGAGCGUUAAUCGGAAUUACUGGGCGUAAAGCGCAUGCAGGCGGCCUGUUAAGUCAGAUGUGAAAGCCCGGGGUCUUAACCUCGGAAUUGCAUUUGAAACUGGCAGGCUAGAGUCUGUAGAGGGGUUAGAAUUUCAGGUGUAGCGGUGAAAUGCGUAGAGAUCUGAAGG
Molecule: ribosomal RNA, 376 nt
Filed under: uncultured bacterium
Lineage: Bacteria
Description: bacterial SSU rRNA
Rfam family: Bacterial small subunit ribosomal RNA
Source: RNAcentral